GCGCCAUUAGCUCAAUUGGCAGAGCAGCCGACUCUUAAUCAGCGGGUUCGGGGCAAGUCCCUGAUGGCGCA
This 71-nucleotide transfer RNA is filed under the name Nocardia sp. SYP-A9097. It matches the Rfam family "tRNA". From Rfam's summary of the family: Transfer RNA (tRNA) molecules are approximately 80 nucleotides in length. The record is from Rfam by way of RNAcentral. Lineage: Bacteria; Bacillati; Actinomycetota; Actinomycetes; Mycobacteriales; Nocardiaceae.